AGCGAACGCUGGCGGCAGGCUUAACACAUGCAAGUCGAGCGGACCUUUCGGGGUCAGCGGCGGACGGGUUAGUAACGCGUGGGAACGUGCCUUCCGCUUCGGAAUAACCCCGGGAAACUAGGGCUAAUACCGGAUACGCCCUUAUGGGGAAAGGUUUACUGCCGGAAGAUCGGCCCGCGUCUGAUUAGCUAGUUGGUGGGGUAACGGCCUACCAAGGCGACGAUCAGUAGCUGGUCUGAGAGGAUGAUCAGCCACACUGGGACUGAGACACGUCCCAGCCAUUAGACGAAGGCAGCAGUGGGUGCUAUUGGAAAAUGGGAGCAAGGCUAAACCAGCCAUGCCGCGUGAGUGAUGAAGGGAUUAGGGUUGUAAAGAUCUUUUAUCAGGGACGAUAAUGGCGGUACCGAAGGAAUAAGCCAGGGCUAACUUCGUG
This 433-nucleotide ribosomal RNA is filed under the name uncultured bacterium. Its description in RNAcentral is "partial 16S ribosomal RNA". It matches the Rfam family "Bacterial small subunit ribosomal RNA", at positions 29 to 507 of the family's 1533-position model. The record is from RNAcentral.